This 253-nucleotide ribosomal RNA is filed under the name uncultured bacterium. RNAcentral's name for it is "partial 16S ribosomal RNA". It matches the Rfam family "Bacterial small subunit ribosomal RNA", at positions 524 to 776 of the family's 1533-position model. The record is from RNAcentral.
UACGGGGGGGGCAAGCGUUGUUCGGAAUUACUGGGCGUAAAGGGCUCGUAGGCGGCCAACUAAGUCAGACGUGAAAUCCCUCGGCUUAACCGGGGAACUGCGUCUGAUACUGGAUGGCUUGAGAUUGGGAGAGGGAUGCGGAAUUCCAGGUGUAGCGGUGAAAUGCGUAGAUAUCUGGAGGAACACCGGUGGCGAAGGCGACUACCUGGCCCAUUCUUGACGCUGAGGCGCGAAAGCUAGGGGGGCGAACGGG